RNAcentral lists this ribosomal RNA (251 nucleotides) under uncultured bacterium. RNAcentral describes it as "partial 16S ribosomal RNA". It matches the Rfam family "Bacterial small subunit ribosomal RNA", at positions 524 to 776 of the family's 1533-position model. The record is from RNAcentral.
UACGUAGGAGGCAAGCGUUGUCCGGAAUUACUGGGCGUAAAGCGCGUGUAGGUGGUGGGACAAGUCUGCUGUGAAAGCGCCUGGCUUAACCGGGCGAGGUCGGCGAAACUGUCCGACUCGAGGACGGUAGAGGGGGUGGAAUUCCCGGUGUAGUGGUGAAAUGCGUAGAUAUCUGGAGGAACACCGGUGGCGAAGGCGGCAUCCUGGACCGGCAUUGACGCUGAGGCGCGAAAGCCAGGGGAGCAAACGGG